UACAUGGGGUGCAAACGUUGCUCGGAAUUAUUGGGCGUAAAGCGCGCGUAGGCGGUUACUUAAGUCGGAUGUGAAAGCCCUCGGCUUAACUGAGGAAGUGCACCCGAAACUGAGUAGCUAGAGUACGAAAGAGGGUCGCGGAAUUCCCGGUGUAGAGGUGAAAUUCGUAGAUAUCGGAAGGAACAUCAGUGGCGAAAGCGACUUCCUGGACCAGUACCGACGUUCAGGCACGAAAGCGUGGGGAGCAAACAGG
This 253-nucleotide ribosomal RNA is filed under the name uncultured bacterium. Its description in RNAcentral is "partial 16S ribosomal RNA". It matches the Rfam family "Bacterial small subunit ribosomal RNA", at positions 524 to 776 of the family's 1533-position model. The record is from RNAcentral.